GAGAUUUCUAGCAUGGCUGACACAAGUAACCAUGGAUCCCUCAUUGAUGAAUGGUUGCCGACCCUACACCAAGCCCAAAGAACUCUCAUGUCAUGCUGAAUGAAAAAUUCAGCUCUCGCUCAAUAUCUGGUCUUUUUAGUGAACAUGGAACCAAUAAGCCCCACGAUCAAUCUGAAAAAGCAGAGAAGUUGUGAAUUCUGCUUUUCUUUACAAUAAAAUGGGGAUAUAACAGCUUUAAGCACAAUGAGAAAUGAGUCCAUCAUUAGUGAGAUCCAAGCCCAGCUAAAGCACAAGAAUGUCACAGUGGAUGUCAAAGCAAAUUCAGACCCUCAUAUUAGUCCUAUUCAGCUCUCAACUACAGUCACAGUCGAGGAACUUGGUUUACCAGGCUUGAAAAACAUAAUGGCCAUUUCUUAUCCACAUCAAGCAUUUGGGAGGGAGGCUUCCACAUGAAUGGGGUUGAAGGGACAUUUCGAGGCAAGCCUUGUGAGGUCGCUUCAAACCCGAGACUUUAGUGGACAACUCUCCUCACCGCAUGAGUGAUUCGAUCACUAACACUCCUUCAGGAACGACAAAGGGGACAACCUCACUGCGUCCUACACUCCUACCAUUUGGCGAACACAGAGAAGGACACAACUGUUGGUAUGGAGGUGACCCGCAACUUCUCAACCAAGGCGAGCAUAGUCACCUUUGGGACAUGUCAUGCACUAGACCCUACCACCACUAUGAAGGCGUGCAACUAAUUGUUAGAAAAAUGUAUUGAUUCAAAGUAUGUUUAGCUGUAGUUUAUAUCUUUCUACCUCCUCUUGUAGAUAGAGUUAGAUUGCAUCACAUAUCUUCUCUUGUAUUCCCAAAUGCAAAGUAAUAUUGGU
Long non-coding RNA from Zea mays, 872 nucleotides. RefSeq lists it as uncharacterized. The record is from RefSeq and is a predicted model, not a curated record. Lineage: Eukaryota; Viridiplantae; Streptophyta; Magnoliopsida; Poales; Poaceae. The transcript is spliced from 5 exons.